This 76-nucleotide non-coding RNA is filed under the name Lachnospiraceae bacterium YSD2013. RNAcentral describes it as "c-di-GMP-I riboswitch aptamer". It matches the Rfam family "c-di-GMP-I riboswitch aptamer". Rfam says of the family: GEMM was predicted in a large-scale screen for bacterial structured RNA regulatory elements. Genes associated with GEMM are involved in a diverse array of functions, including chemotaxis regulation, signal transduction, secretion and chitin. The record is from Rfam by way of RNAcentral. Lineage: Bacteria; Bacillati; Bacillota; Clostridia; Lachnospirales; Lachnospiraceae.
UUGUAAAUAGGGCAAAGCGGGCGAAAGCUCGUGACGCAAAGCUAUAGGGACUUUAACAUGUCAGCCAGUUGCAACU